Octopus sinensis (East Asian common octopus) is the source of this 341-nucleotide long non-coding RNA. RefSeq lists it as uncharacterized. The record is from RefSeq and is a predicted model, not a curated record. The transcript is spliced from 2 exons. NCBI's taxonomy places the organism in Eukaryota, Metazoa, Mollusca, Cephalopoda, Octopoda, Octopodidae.
GCAAAUCCAAAAGAACCAUUUAAUUGGAUCUCUGUGGUAUAAACACCAAAUAAAUAAAUAAUAAUAAUAGUAGUAUAGUAGUAGUAGUAGUAGUAGUAAGAAAUUGAGGAAUGAAUAUGGCUCGGCUUGUAUGGUAUUUACAGUUCGGUACACAUAACUUAUAUUAGUUAUAUCAGCAGACUUGCAGAAAAUUAUUCAUUGCUUUUUGAUAUCAUGAUACUAGGUGCUAUCAGUUAGGACGACAACGGUAAAAAAAAAGGGGAAAAAAAGAAAAAAGAAAAAAAAACAAGUAAGUGAAGAAUAUAUACGAAAUAAAAAAAAAAAUAAGCACCAAUAUAUAU